RNAcentral lists this ribosomal RNA (467 nucleotides) under uncultured bacterium. RNAcentral describes it as "partial 16S ribosomal RNA". It matches the Rfam family "Bacterial small subunit ribosomal RNA", at positions 28 to 507 of the family's 1533-position model. The record is from RNAcentral.
GAUGAACGCUGGCGGCGCGCCUAACACAUGCAAGUCGAACGAUUAAAGCACCUUCGGGUGUGUAUAAAGUGGCGAACGGCUGAGUAACACGUGGGCAACCUGCCCCUUUCAUUGGGAUAGCCACGGGAAACCGUGGAUAAUACCGAAUACUUCGAGACUUCCGCAUGGAAGACUCGAGAAAGCUCCGGCGGAGAGGGAUGGGCCCGCGGCCUGUUAGCUUGUUGGUGGGGUAACGGCCUACCAAGGCAAUGAUGGGUAGCUGGGUUGAGAGACCGACCAGCCAGAUUGGGACUGAGAAACGGCCCAGACUCCUACGGGAGGCAGCAGUGGGGAAUCUUGCACAAUGGGCGAAAGCCUGAUGCAGCGACGCCGCGUGCGGGAUGAAGGCCUUCGGGUUGUAAACCGCUUUCAGCAGGGACGAGGCGAAAGUGACGGUACCUGCAGAAGAAGCCCCGGCUAACUACGUG